RNAcentral lists this ribosomal RNA (500 nucleotides) under uncultured bacterium. RNAcentral describes it as "partial 16S ribosomal RNA". It matches the Rfam family "Bacterial small subunit ribosomal RNA", at positions 28 to 507 of the family's 1533-position model. The record is from RNAcentral.
GACGAACGCUGGCGGCGUGCUUAACACAUGCAAGUCGAACGGGUCUGCCCUGUUUUUUGCGGGGUGGGUCAGUGGCGAACGGGUGAGUAACACGUGAGUAACCUGCCCCUCACUUCUGGAUAACCGCUUGAAAGGGUGGCUAAUACGGGGUGUUCUGGCUGUGCCGCAUGGUGUGGCUGGGAAAGAUUCACUUUUGUGGUGUUUUGGUGGGGGAUGGGCUCGCGGCCUAUCAGCUUGUUGGUGGGGUGAUGGCCUGCCAAGGCUUUGACGGGUAGCCGGCCUGGGGGGGUGGGCGGUCACACUGGGACUGGGGUUCCGGCCAGACUCCUGCGGGGGGGAGCAGGGGGGGGGAUUGCACAAUGGGCGGAAGGCUGAAGGAGCGACGGUGCGUGAGGGAUGGAGGCCUUCGGGUUGUGAACCUCUUUCGCCGGUGAAGAAGGUCCUGCUCUUUGUGGUGGGGUUGACGGUAGCCGGGUUAUGAAGCGCCGGCUAACUACGUG